UACGUAGGGUGCAAGCGUUAAUCGGAAUUACUGGGCGUAAAGCGUGCGUAGGCGGCUAUGCAAGACAGAUGUGAAAUCCCUGGGCUUAACCUAGGAACUGCAUUUGUGACUGCAUUGCUAGAGUGUGGUAGAGGGAGAUGGAAUUCCGCAUGUAGCAGUGAAAUGCGUAGAUAUGCGGAGGAACACCAAUGGCGAAGGCAAUCUCCUGGACCUGCACUGACGCUCAUGCACGAAAGCGUGGGGAGCAAACAGG
Molecule: ribosomal RNA, 253 nt
Filed under: uncultured bacterium
Lineage: Bacteria
Description: partial 16S ribosomal RNA
Rfam family: Bacterial small subunit ribosomal RNA
Source: RNAcentral